GGUUAAUAAAUUCACACCGACGUCUUUCUUUUACUAUUCUUACACCUUGGUUUGUGAUUAUUGCAUAGAUCGAAAACGAUUGCAAUUGAUCGUUUGCUUAGUCAUAGUUUUCUAUGUUGUUCAUUGUUUAAUGAGGUAAGGUUGUUUGUAUUUUUAUCGUUUUCCACUUUUUGGCACGGCUUUGUCAGUUUGUUUUCGACUGAUGAGAUUUAAAAUCCAUGAUAAGUAUAUCGUCUCUAUUUUUCUCUGUCAUUUGUUUAUGUUGUUAUAUUUUGUUUUGUUAUAUUUUGUUUU
This 294-nucleotide long non-coding RNA is filed under the name Mytilus galloprovincialis (Mediterranean mussel). Lineage: Eukaryota; Metazoa; Mollusca; Bivalvia; Mytilida; Mytilidae. The record is from RNAcentral.